AAAACCAGAAUGCCGAGUUUCCGGGCGGACCGGAAAGCGGGGGAACCAGUUUUUACGGGUGAAUUGAUCUUGUAACACAGGGAUCAUAGGGGUCCUUCAACCGAACCCUCCAGCUAACCUCGCAGGCACGGAAGGAGCUUUC
This 142-nucleotide small RNA is filed under the name Paenibacillus alvei. RNAcentral describes it as "ydaO-yuaA". It matches the Rfam family "c-di-AMP riboswitch aptamer (ydaO/yuaA leader)". From Rfam's summary of the family: This family represents a conserved RNA structure found upstream of the ydaO and yuaA genes in Bacillus subtilis and related genes in other bacteria. The record is from RNAcentral. Lineage: Bacteria; Bacillati; Bacillota; Bacilli; Caryophanales; Paenibacillaceae.